Chelonia mydas (Green sea turtle) is the source of this 4332-nucleotide long non-coding RNA. RefSeq lists it as uncharacterized. The record is from RefSeq and is a predicted model, not a curated record. Lineage: Eukaryota; Metazoa; Chordata; Testudines; Cheloniidae. The transcript has 10 exons.
AAACAUUCAAUUCAAAAAUGGAACAUUCCAUACAUUCACAUUGUAAAGGUAACCUUCCAUGUGUGCUAGAGAAACUGUCCACAAACAGAUGCAAAAGUGGAAACUACGUCCCUCUGUUCAGUGGGCUGUUAACUUCAAAGUCUAGUUGGAAUGGGAGCAUUAAAAUGCCAAGGUUAUCAAGCAGUCUAUGGAACAAACCCUCAGCUGGAACUGUGGAAAACGGACACUGGAGCUGGCUUGCACCUUCAGUCGUCAUUGACACCUGUGCAAAGUGACUACAAAGCAGAUGUAAAACACUACCAAAUUAGGAUAGCAGCAUUCUGCACAGAUGUAAAUUAUUAGGUGCCAAGUAUUGGAGAAUCGGGCCCUUCCUGGGCAAAUGGAUGCAAAUUAUGCCCAUUCGGAGUUGCCAACUCUUCUGACUUUUGUCAUGAUAUUUGAGGUUUUCGCUACUGAGAUGAACAUCAGAAACCCUCUGAUCACCAUAAACUGGCAGAAUAAAUUGUAACAACAAAACAAAUGGAGGGAUGCAGUGAAUAAAAGAGUGUACACUUCAGAGCCAUGAACUGAUCACUUUGGAUUUUACAACAUGGGCCAAAAAUUCUUCCUGCUCCAGAUGCACACAUGGAAUUCCCAUUGUCUUCAAUGGGAUUUGCACACACAUGGCUGAGAGCAGAAUCUGGCCCAUGUGCAUUCUUUCUUUCUUUUUUCUUUGAUUUAUUGUCUCAUGCUUCUACAGCUGCUUUGUUUGAUUGUUGCUUAACUGUUCUUUACAAAAUCCUGAUAGCUCUGAGGCCAUCAUUUAUAACAGGUGAAGUAUUUGCCUCUAACAUUUGCUUUGUUAAUGAAACAACAGGGCUAAUUCAAUAGGGCAGAGUAAGCCACCGAUGGCCGGAGAGGAGGCUUGGCUCCAGUCCUGUGUCCAGGCCCUGGUAUAGGAGUUGGCUGAAACCCCUACCCUUAUCACAGUUUGACUACAGGAGUGUCACUUAGUAUAUAAUCAUUGCCUUGAUUGUUAUGAUCAGACCUUGAUGAUUUUGUUUGGGAUAGUUCUGUCUGUACUACACAACUUAGAUUUAAAUGUUUAUGUAGGUCUUGAUCCUGCAAGGUGUUGAGCACUCUGUCCCUGAUCCAGCAAAAGCACUUAAGUCAAUAGGACAACUCACAUGCUUAAACUUAAGUACAUACUUAAAGUGAUUUGAUGGAUCAAGCCCUUAGCUUGCAAUAUCUUGGGUGCAGGGACUGUAUCGUUCAUAAGUGUCCAUGGCCUGGUCUACAGUACAAAGUGAGGUUGACGUAAGGUGCCUUGCUUGCACCAACCUAGCUGUGCAUAUGUCCACACUUAAAUUUGUCGCCCACCAGUGUAAGAUCUCCAUUAUGCCAACAUAGUAACACCUUCUGCCCAAGCGUUGUUGAGCCAUGGUCAGUGUACUGAGGUUGGCACAGUGCAAAUGUAGACACUGCAUUGCCUAUGUUGACCCUAACAGUCCUCCAGCAACUGUCUUGCAAUGCCCAACACUGACGGUUCUGGUCUCGGUUGUGAACUCCACUGCCUGGGGCUCACAGAGACUGGAAGCCACACCCCUCCUUUAAAACCAUGUGAAUUUUUGAUAUGCUGUUUCCUGAUUGUCCAUUGUGGCGAGCACUCCUAGCAGCUCUCCAUUGUUGUGUGCAGCUGCCCAGCUGGCAAUGCUGGCUACAUGCUCCAGGUGUGUUCUGGCCUGGAGUAGACAGGAGUUUUUGGAUCUCCUGGGCCUGUGGGGAAAAGAAGUUGUAAAGGCACAGGUAUGGACCAACCAUAGAUAUAUGGCCAUCUAUGAGCAGAUUGCCCGGGGACGCAGGAGAAGGGUUACAAUGUGGACCAGCAGCUGUGCUGUGUGAAAGCAAAGGAACUGCAGGCAUAUCAGAAGGCCAGGGAGGCCAACAGUUGAUCUAGUGCUGAGCUGCAGCUCUGCCACUUUUACAAAGAGUUGCUUGCCAGGCUUGGUGGAGACCUCUCCCCACCCCCCAUUAGCCCACACAGACCUCUGUGGAUACCUCUGAAGAGCCUGAGUCACUGGCCCUUGGUGUGAACAGCAAGGACGAGGAGGAGGAGGUGAAGGAGGAAUAGGAGAAGGAUGGAGGAGAUGUGACAGAGGGGUCUAGCUAUGACACUAGCCGGGACCUGUUUGAGACUCCAACACAGUCCAGUCAAUCCCAGUAGUCGAGCACCACGAAACUGACUGAGGGGAAGGAACCUCAGCUGCUGCUGUUGCAGUCUUGAGGAGUUCCCCCUCCACACCCACAGAAUGCCUGAGCUAGAUAAGGAUGAAAAAGAAGAAGCUCAGAAUGACAUGUUCAGUCAGAUCCUGCAACGCAGUGCUGCAUCAGACCAUGAACAGAGGGCCUGAAGCAUGAAUAUUGCAGGCUGUACAGAGAAGGAAAGAGCAGCAGACAGGAGAAAGGACCAAGAAUCCCAGCAGGAAAAGGAGAGGGAGGGACACAAUGGAGCUCCUUUGGCAGCAAACCUACAGAUUCAAAAAUCCUGGGUUUGUCUCCCUUUGCAGUCCAUGGAGAAUUCCAUUACAGCAGCUUCCUACACACACAUACAUCAACUGUGGUUCUCACAGAUAUUGUGACACAGCAUGACACAGUGGGAAGCCAUAACGAGUGGAAUAUCUUUGUCACUGAGAUCCAGUCUUCUGAACUAUUGGUUUCCUAUCGACUGCAUCUCCCUCUAGGAUCCAGAGAUAGGAGUCUCUGGGCCUGGGUCUGGAGAGAGGGAGGACCUAAUGCAAUGGGGGCUUCAAGGGAUGUAUCAGUCCUUGAGAAGGACUGAGGCAAUGAGACUGGAGCUGCAUGGAGAGGAACACGACUCUGCCUCCUGAGGAACAAUUCCUCGUUGAAAAGAGUGGUCACCCAAGCAUGUCUGGCAUAGUGAAGACUCAAGUUCUGGCUCCCCUUGAGUUAAAAAGGAUCUUUUACAACUGAGAGAAAAAUGGAAGGGGCGGACUCUGAUCCUGAAUGAGUGAAGUCGAUGGGAGCUUUGUCAGGAUUGAGCCUGGAGCUGGCCUGCCUGCUGUGCUGAAACAGCAGUAGGAGACAGUGACUGCUCACAAAAUGGAGACGGGAUGCAGAAGGAAGCUACUUCAGGACAGGCUUUGCCAGUAAAAAGCUGAGCACCUAAGAGGAACAGAAGAAAUAAGGGAGGCAGUUAUAAGAAACUCUCAGCUAAAAGCCUGAGCAAACAGUCAGGCAGUUCAUGUGUCCUGAAGGUCAACAGACUCAGGCUCUGUCAAACCAGGGGAGGAAGAGAAUUUGGGACUCAAGAGACCUCUGCUGAACAUGCCUACCCUGAGACAUUCUACUCCAAGAUCUGUAUCAGAUGCUUCCAUGUUAUGUUCACUGACACCCCAUGAGAAAUGGCUGUGAUCUGGAUGGACUACAAGCAGGAAGUAUUAAAAACCUCUCGACAAGCUGGUUGGUGGUGUGUAAGAAGUCUAUAAAAAAGAGGGUACUUCUUGAUUCAUCAGAAGCCAAAGCAUGAAGUCCUUUCCCAAUAUCUACUCAUUCCUUACCUAGACAUUGAUGCAAAUUUGCCUGAAUAAGGACUGAGUAAGAACUUCAGCAUCUGGAUGCACAAAGCUGUAAAGAUUUCUACACAACCCUGUACCAAUUAAAUAAAAUUGGGCAAAUGGCUCAGGCAGGAAUCAGAAUCUGUCCAAAUCAACAGUGUUUAAGGAGCUGAAUGCUAUGAAUUGCUUUUCAGGAUAGGCAAUAUGGCCUACUCUGUUUUUGCAGAAAGUUGUGUAAAUCUCUGGUACUAUGUAGGUUUAAUAACAAGUAGUAAUGACAGUUAACAAUAACAGAUGUUUGCAUUGUGUCACAAACAUCAUAUACGGUACUAUGGAGUUGAGACCCACAUGCUUCACUGUAGCUGUCCCAGAAAAAUCUCAUGUUCUAGAAGCCCAUGUCUGGAGCAUGAAAAAUAGGAGAGGGACAACAAUUUCCCAGCAGUAAUCCAGAAGAGCUUGUCUUUGGGACACAGGCUGGAGUUUAUGUCAAUAAAACCAUACAGACACUAAUUGAAUCUCAGCUUCUCUGGGUUUACUCACCUAGAGUAAUAAGCUGCAAUUUACUAUGACUACAUGCCAUUAAUGCCCUAUCUAAAUGAAAAAUUAUAAUUAAUUCAUUAAUAGGAACAUAGUGUGAUGGUGCACCCCAUAAGGCUUUAUGGAAAUAUGCUUAUGAAUGUAUAUAUGACAUAACUGGAAUAUGUUUUAUGCUACAUAUGCCAUGUAACAUAUCUAUGUAAAGGUUAUGAUCUACUGAAUAUAUUCAUCCUAUUUGUAU